Pan troglodytes (chimpanzee) is the source of this 3273-nucleotide long non-coding RNA. RefSeq lists it as uncharacterized. NCBI's taxonomy places the organism in Eukaryota, Metazoa, Chordata, Mammalia, Primates, Hominidae. The transcript is spliced from 5 exons. The record is from RefSeq and is a predicted model, not a curated record.
GCAUUAAGAGGCAAAAUGGCGGAGUUUAACUGGUCGAUGACCUUGCACGGACAUUUGACUGGUACGGGAAGAACGCUUCAAAUGAGCAUACAUACAGCUCCGGUAAACACACUGCACGUGUGGCACCUCCAAGAGCGGGCAGGCAACUGCACAGGCAGACAGCCCACCCCAAGGGCAGAAUCAGGGAAGAAGAGACGCAGGACCCCGGAAGCAUGCCAACGUCACACCGUGCACUUCAUCCCUCAAGUCACCCGCGCGGCCCUCUUGCAAGGUCUCACUCUGUCGCCAGCUGGAAUGCAGUGGCACAAUCCCAGCUCAGUGCAGCCUCAACCUCCAGGGCUCAAGUGAUCCUCCCACCUCAGCCUCCUGAGUAACUGGAACUACAGAUGUACACCACCACGCCCAGCGGAAGCUUCCGGAAGCCUCACCAGAAGCUGAGCAGAUGCUGGAGCCGUGCUUGUACAGUCUGCAGAACUAUGGAGUCUCACUCUUGUCUCCCCAGCUGGAGUGCAAUGGUGCGAUCUCAGCUCACUGCAACCUCCGCCUCCCAGGUUCAAGUGAUUCUCCUGUCUCAGCCUCUCCAGUAGCUGGGAUUACAGAAAGAGAAGGCAUGUGAAGAGACAGACACGUACACAGAGAGACUCCCUGCAAGGACUGCAGUUAUGCUGCCUCCAGCCAAACCACUACCAGAGGCCAGGAGAGAGGCUUGGAAGAGAUCCUGCCCCAGGAUCCUCAGAGGGAACAUGGCCCUGCUGACUCCUUGAUCUUGGACUUCUGGCACUUCCAUAACUGUGAGCUAAUAAAUUGCUGUUGCUCUAAGCCACCUACUUUGUGAUACUUUGUGACAAUGGUCCUAGGAAAAUAAUCCACCGUCAGAGACUGCUAAACUACACUUGCUCAUCUGGGCAGAAGUUGCGCAGAUCCAUCUUAAUCAUACCCCAGAGCCAUUGCUGUGAUGCCCACAAAGCUGGAUCUCAAGUCACAGGGACAAGAGAUACAGGGGUAAUUUACAAAAUUAAACACAGCCUGCCCAGUUACAGUUCAAUUUUAGGAAAUCAUAUUACAUAAUACUGGAACAUACUUUAAAAAAAAAAAGGUGUUGUUCAAGGUCAGGAGUUCGAGACCAGCCUGGCCAACAUGAUGAAACCCCCAUCUCUACUAAAAAUACAAAAAUUAUCUGGGCGUGGUGACAGGUGCCUGUAGUCCCAGCUACUCCGGAGGCUGACGCAGGGAAUCGCUUGAACUCGGGAGGCAGAGGUUGCAGUGAGCCAAGAUCGCACCACUGCACUCCAGCCUGGGUGACAGAGUGAGUCUCUGUCUCAAGACAAAAAAAAAGGUGUUGUCUAUCUGAAAUUCAAAUAUAACUGGGCAUCCUAUGUUUUUAUUUGCUAAAUCUGACAACCCUAGGAAGGCGACCAGCAGGAGGUAAACAUGCCCUUGGGACAUGCUAGGGCAGGCGAUGUCUUCACUUCUGAGCACUCUCCCUGGCAGUCCACACUUAACAGGAGUUGGCCCAGAGAGACGGAAGCAAUCCACGCAAAUCCUCUCUCAGGCCCAGUGAGAUGCAUUUGGAAAAGGUGAAAAAGAUGUGCCUCAGAGAAUCAGAGAAGCAAAAAGAGUGACUGCUAGAAGACUGUUGUAAAAUGAGUGGGUAAAGCCCUGUUGGAAAUGGAAGAAAAUAAGAAAAUAAAAACAAAUCCUCCUAUUGCCAUUACUUGUGCUUUGUGACAUUGUUUAUUAACCAAGUAGAAAUAUUACCUUAAAAUACCAGAGAUUAUAACUAAGACACUGGAAGAGGGAUAUAAGAAAGAAUGUUUAGUUUCUGUUUACUACUAGAAGAGGCUCAAGAAAAUGUUGAAGUGUAACACAGAAAUGAAAAUGUAUUUUAAGGCUGAAUGCGGUGGCUCACGCCUGUAAUCGUAGCACUGUGGGAGGCUGAGUAGGGAAGGCUGAGUGUGGUGGCUCACGCCUGUAAUCCUAGCACUUUGGGAGGCUGAGUAGGGAAGGCUGAGUGUGGUGGCUCACGCCUGUCAUCCCAGCACUUUGGGAGGCCGAGUAAGGCAGAUCACCUGAGUCAGGAGUUUGAGACCAGCCUGACCAACAUGGCAAAACCCUGUCUCUACUAAAAAUACAAAAAUUAUCUGGGCAUGGUGGCGUGUGCCUGUAAUCCCAGCUAUGCCAGAGGCUGAGGCAUGAGAGUCACUUGAACUCGGGAGGCGGAGCUUGCAGUGAGCCGAGAUCGUGCCAUCGCACUCCAGCCUGGGCAACAGAGCGAGACUCUGUCUCAAAAAAAGUAAAAAUAAAAAUAAAUAUUUGAAGAGGGCUAAACAAAUUACAGCAAAAUUUCCUGGCAUUAAUAUAAGAGCAGAUGAAGAUGUCUACUCUCAUUUGAUGUUUGUGAUAGAGAGGAUGAUGGAAGGGCCCAAAGUUAGAUAAAUUCAAGAAGCCCGCAAAAGAACGUGCACUUCUGGGUGUUCAGACAAAUGGAUCUGGCAGACACAAAGCCCAGAGGCUGCAGGUGAACUAGCUUGAGGAUAAUGAAUAGAAAAUGCAAACUACCCCCAAAAAGAGUGACACAAGGAAAAUGACGUUCUGAAGUAGGAAAGGGGCCAAAAACAGGAAAGACGGAAGCAGGUAAGUUUGAUAAUGAUGCUGAAAAGGCCUAAACAGGAUUUUGACGCAAGAGAUAGAAUUACUUUCCCAAAUUGCAGGGUUCAGCAUCCAGAAUUCAAUUGUCAAGGUUGAAUUCAAAUUUGGGUUAGGAUUAUCCCAAACAAAAAUGAUAAGGAACACUCCUACAUCAUUGUGGGAAUAAAUCCAAGGGAAUUUACUUAGGCUGGAGAAAGUUUGUUUAAAACUCAGUAGCUCCCAUUUCAAUGGCAAAGACACAGUAAUUUUCCUAAAACAAGAGGCCUGCUGUGCAUUUUCUAGUAAGAACCUACAAAACUGAAGCUGGUGAAUAAAUCCUUUAAAUCAAGGAAAGGAGAUACCCUGCAACGCUUAAAGCAUCCUAGAGGAGUGUGACUGUCAAAAAUACCUUCUGAUUAUGUGACGUGUUUAAGACUGGAGCUCUCACGAGGGAUCCAUUUGACCACCGUGCACUCUAAGCAUGAGGAGAGUGUGAAGGUCAGUGAUCUUUCUGCUAAUACUGAACAUGUCUCAGAAUACGCCACCGGAGACAGGGAGUUGCCUCAGGAAACACCAAAAGAAGAGCAAAAGGAGAAGCUGAAAACACAAGAAAACCAAAUGCAUUUAUAAAAAAAAAAAAAGAAA